AGUGAACGCUGGCGGUAGGCCUAACACAUGCAAGUCGAACGGCAGCACAGUAAGAGCUUGCUCUUACGGGUGGCGAGUGGCGGACGGGUGAGGAAUACAUCGGAAUCUACUUUUUCGUGGGGGAUAACGUAGGGAAACUUACGCUAAUACCGCAUACGACCUACGGGUGAAAGCAGGGGAUCUUCGGACCUUGCGCGAUUGAAUGAGCCGAUGUCGGAUUAGCUAGUUGGCGGGGUAAAGGCCCACCAAGGCGACGAUCCGUAGCUGGUCUGAGAGGAUGAUCAGCCACACUGGAACUGAGACACGGUCCAGACUCCUACGGGAGGCAGCAGUGGGGAAUAUUGGACAAUGGGCGAAAGCCUGAUCCAGCCGUACCGCGUGGGUGAAGAAGGCCUUCGGGUUGUAAAGCCCUUUUGUUGGGAAAGAAAAGCAGCAGGUUAAUACCCCGCUGUUCUGACGGUACCCAAAGAAUAAGCACCGGCUAACUUCGUG
Molecule: ribosomal RNA, 492 nt
Filed under: uncultured bacterium
Lineage: Bacteria
Description: partial 16S ribosomal RNA
Rfam family: Bacterial small subunit ribosomal RNA
Source: RNAcentral